CAGCAGUAGCCACGGGAAUACGGAGGGUGCAAGCGUUAAUCGGAAUUACUGGGCGUAAAGCGCACGCAGGCGGUCUGACAAGUCAGAUGUGAAAUCCCCGGGCUUAACCUGGGAACUGCAUUUGAAACUGUCAGGCUGGAGUCUUGUAGAGGGGGGUGGAAUUCCAGGUGUAGCGGUGAAAUGCGUAGAGAUCUGGAGGAAUACCGGUGGCGAAGGCGGCCCCCUGGACAAAGACUGACGCUUAGGUGCGAAAGCGUGGGGAGCAAACAGGAUUAGAUACCCCUGUAGUCCCUGUCUCUUAUAC
RNAcentral lists this ribosomal RNA (304 nucleotides) under uncultured bacterium. RNAcentral describes it as "partial 16S ribosomal RNA". It matches the Rfam family "Bacterial small subunit ribosomal RNA", at positions 506 to 807 of the family's 1533-position model. The record is from RNAcentral.